This is a long non-coding RNA of Canis lupus familiaris (dog), 1077 nucleotides long. RefSeq lists it as uncharacterized. The record is from RefSeq and is a predicted model, not a curated record. NCBI's taxonomy places the organism in Eukaryota, Metazoa, Chordata, Mammalia, Carnivora, Canidae. The transcript is spliced from 2 exons.
CUGCCAGCGAGGACGGGCCUGGUUGAGAGGCAGCAGGAGCUGCUGCAAAGCCGUAAAACUGAGGCAGAAGUCCUGGCAAGGGUAUGGGGAUGCCUGCACUCAGGGAGGCUGCCGGGGUGCCAGCACUCAGUUCCCUUCUUUGGCCAAUUACAAGACUGGCAUCGUGCCUUGUGAUCCAUGUGCAGUGACUGAGGCUGUGAGUGUCCUUCCUCUCCUGGUCAGACCCGGCUCAGACACGGCCCUGGGGGAACCAGCUGACGAAGGAAGAUAAGAGCGACUCCGACUCCAACACCAGGGCCCAGGUGGGCCAAGGACUUCAGUGAACACUCAGGGGAUGAAUCUGAAGCCUCCAUUUACCCACAUAUGAGGAAGGAAACGAUUGUUUCAGUAUUCAGGCCUUCUGAGGAAUGACAUCAUUUAUUCUGUCAGCAAAUAUUUCUCGGUGAACAAGAGGGAUAAGAUUUUAAAGCUAUUAAGGAGUCUGCAUUCUCGAAGAAGAGACAGAUGAGAGACAAUUUCAUUUCCGAUUCAGAUGAAAUCAUGAAGGCCUCAGUGGUGACCAAGGGGGACAGGCAUGCUGCUUUAGAUAAGGUAGUCGUCGUGCUCCUUCUGAGAAGACAAUGUUUGAACUGAGAUCUGAAAGGUGAGAACAGAAUAGUCGUUCCAAGAGCUGUGGGCAAAGGCAGGAGAUAGGACCUGACUGGUUGCAUAGGAAAGAUCUGGAGCUGCCUGUGCCUUUAUCUGCAUACCUCAUCUGAAGGGACUCACGACUGUGUUUGCUCACGAAGAGCCAUGUCUACAAGUACCUGUUUGUUUGAGGACUCAGAAAGCUUGUCUCAGUGUGGAAGACAUUAUCCAAGUCUUUGCUCUUGUCUCCUUAAUGGGGCCCAGCAACAACCCUCCACCCCUGGAAUUCUCUGCUUAGUGAUAUGUUCCUGAGAUACAUCCUGGUUUGAUGCUAAUAAGCACCAAACUGUCAAGUCUGUGUUUUUGAGCUGUCAUAUCUGUGUCUGACGUUGAGUUCAUCUCUGAAUGAAUAGAAACAGCUUCAAAUAAACUUUAUUUUUGUUAAUAUGA